CCCUUAGAUGUUCUGGGCCGCACGCGCGCUACACUGAUUCAUGCAACAAGUUUUGUCCUUGGCUGAUAGGCCUGGAUAAUCUUUGAACGUGAAUCGUGAUGGGGAUAGAUGAUUGCAAUUAUUCAUCUUCAACGAGGAAUUCCUAGUAAACGCAAGUCAUCAGCUUGCAUUGAUUACGUCCCUGCCCUUUGUACACACCGCCCGUCGCACCUACCGAUUGAAUGGUCCGGUGAAAUCUUCGGAUCUGAGAGAUGUCUGAUUAAUUUCGGACGCCUUUUGGAAAAGUUGUUUAAACCUUACCAUUUAGAGGAAGGUGAAGUCGUAACA
RNAcentral lists this ribosomal RNA (327 nucleotides) under uncultured eukaryote. RNAcentral's name for it is "partial 18S ribosomal RNA". It matches the Rfam family "Eukaryotic small subunit ribosomal RNA", at positions 1470 to 1796 of the family's 1831-position model. The record is from RNAcentral.